This is a non-coding RNA of Phrynosoma platyrhinos (Desert horned lizard), 75 nucleotides long. The record is from the annotation of a GenBank genome assembly. NCBI's taxonomy places the organism in Eukaryota, Metazoa, Chordata, Lepidosauria, Squamata, Phrynosomatidae.
GCUGAUGUGGCAUAGUGGUUUGAGUGCUGGACUAUGACUCUGGAGACCAGGGUUCGAUUCCCCCCUCCCUUGGCU